UACGUAGGGGGCUAGCGUUGCUCGGAAUCACUGGGCGUAAAGGGUGCGUAGGCGGGUCUUUAAGUCAGGGGUGAAAUCCUGGAGCUCAACUCCAGAACUGCCUUUGAUACUGAAGAUCUUGAGUUCGGGAGAGGUGAGUGGAACUGCGAGUGUAGAGGUGAAAUUCGUAGAUAUUCGCAAGAACACCAGUGGCGAAGGCGGCUCACUGGCCCGAUACUGACGCUGAGGCACGAAAGCGUGGGGAGCAAACGGG
This 253-nucleotide ribosomal RNA is filed under the name uncultured bacterium. Its description in RNAcentral is "partial 16S ribosomal RNA". It matches the Rfam family "Bacterial small subunit ribosomal RNA", at positions 524 to 776 of the family's 1533-position model. The record is from RNAcentral.